AACGCGAAGAACCUUACCAAGGCUUGACAUGGCUGGAAUCUCCUGGAAACAGGAGAGUGCCUUCGGGAAUCAGCACACAGGUGUUGCAUGGCCGUCGUCAGCUCGUGUCGUGAGAUGUUGGGUUAAGUCCCGCAACGAGCGCAACCCUUGUUGUCUGUUGUAUUUUUCAGACAAGACUGCCCGGGCCAACCGGGAGGAAGGUGGGGAUGAGGUCAGGUCAGCAUGACCCUUACGCCUUGGGCUACACACGUCAUACAAUGGCCGGUACAGCGCGCUGCGAAGUCGCGAGACGGAGCUAAUCGCACCAAAACCGGUCUCAGUUCGGAUUGCAGGCUGCAACUCGCCUGCAUGAAGCUGGAAUCGCUAGUAACCGUGGGUCAGCAUACCACGGUGAAUACGUUCCCGGGCCUUGUACACACCGAGACGUA
Molecule: ribosomal RNA, 428 nt
Filed under: uncultured bacterium
Lineage: Bacteria
Description: bacterial SSU rRNA
Rfam family: Bacterial small subunit ribosomal RNA
Source: RNAcentral